RNAcentral lists this ribosomal RNA (192 nucleotides) under uncultured bacterium. RNAcentral's name for it is "partial 16S ribosomal RNA". It matches the Rfam family "Bacterial small subunit ribosomal RNA", at positions 340 to 524 of the family's 1533-position model. The record is from RNAcentral.
UACGGGAGGCAGCAGUGGGGAAUUUUGGACAAUGGGCGAAAGCCUGAUCCAGCCAUGCCGCGUGAGUGAAGAAGGCCUUCGGGUUGUAAAGCUCUUUCAGCCGGAAAGAAAUCGCGCAGGAUAAUACUCUGCGUGGAUGACGGUACCGGAAGAAGAAGCACCGGCUAACUACGUGCCAGCAGCCGCGGUAAU